GGGCCUGUAGCUCAAUUGGAAGAGCGCUUCCAUGGCAUGGAAGAGGUCGUCGGUUCGACCCCGAUCAGGUCCA
RNAcentral lists this transfer RNA (73 nucleotides) under Planctomycetaceae bacterium. RNAcentral's name for it is "tRNA-Ala". It matches the Rfam family "tRNA". From Rfam's summary of the family: Transfer RNA (tRNA) molecules are approximately 80 nucleotides in length. Their secondary structure includes four short double-helical elements and three loops (D, anti-codon, and T loops). Lineage: Bacteria; Pseudomonadati; Planctomycetota; Planctomycetia; Planctomycetales; Planctomycetaceae. RNAcentral also lists the same sequence under 2 other names. The record is from RNAcentral.